UACAUGCAAGUCGAGCGGACAGAUGGGAGCUUGCUCCCUGAUGUUAGCGGCGGACGGGUGAGUAACACGUGGGUAACCUGCCUGUAAGACUGGGAUAACUCCGGGAAACCGGGGCUAAUACCGGAUGCUUGUUUGAACCGCAUGGUUCAAACAUAAAAGGUGGCUUCGGCUACCACUUACAGAUGGACCCGCGGCGCAUUAGCUAGUUGGUGAGGUAACGGCUCACCAAGGCAACGAUGCGUAGCCGACCUGAGAGGGUGAUCGGCCACACUGGGACUGAGACACGGCCCAGACUCCUACGGGAGGCAGCAGUAGGGAAUCUUCCGCAAUGGACGAAAGUCUGACGGAGCAACGCCGCGUGAGUGAUGAAGGUUUUCGGAUCGUAAAGCUCUGUUGUUAGGGAAGAACAAGUACCGUUCGAAUAGGGCGGUACCUUGACGGUACCUAACCAGAAAGCCACGGCUAACUACGUGCCAGCAGCCGCGGUAAUACGUAGGUGGCAAGCGUUGUCCGGAAUUAUUGGGCGUAAAGGGCUCGCAGGCGGUUUCUUAAGUCUGAUGUGAAAGCCCCCGGCUCAACCGGGGAGGGUCAUUGGAAACUGGGGAACUUGAGUGCAGAAGAGGAGAGUGGAAUUCCACGUGUAGCGGUGAAAUGCGUAGAGAUGUGGAGGAACACCAGUGGCGAAGGCGACUCUCUGGUCUGUAACUGACGCUGAGGAGCGAAAGCGUGGGGAGCGAACAGGAUUAGAUACCCUGGUAGUCCACGCCGUAAACGAUGAGUGCUAAGUGUUAGGGGGUUUCCGCCCCUUAGUGCUGCAGCUAACGCAUUAAGCACUCCGCCUGGGGAGUACGGUCGCAAGACUGNNNNNNGNGGGNNGCUAUACAUGCAAGUCGAGCGGACAGAUGGGAGCUUGCUCCCUGAUGUUAGCGGCGGACGGGUGAGUAACACGUGGGUAACCUGCCUGUAAGACUGGGAUAACUCCGGGAAACCGGGGCUAAUACCGGAUGCUUGUUUGAACCGCAUGGUUCAAACAUAAAAGGUGGCUUCGGC
RNAcentral lists this ribosomal RNA (1050 nucleotides) under Bacillus sp. 168. Its description in RNAcentral is "bacterial SSU rRNA". It matches the Rfam family "Bacterial small subunit ribosomal RNA". The record is from RNAcentral. Lineage: Bacteria; Bacillati; Bacillota; Bacilli; Caryophanales; Bacillaceae.